Molecule: unclassified non-coding RNA, 218 nt
Filed under: Pseudomonas saponiphila
Lineage: Bacteria; Pseudomonadati; Pseudomonadota; Gammaproteobacteria; Pseudomonadales; Pseudomonadaceae
Description: Pseudomonas sRNA P29
Source: RNAcentral
AAGCACAAAGGGGAGCCGAAGCUCCCCUUUAAUGUGUCGUUGCGUGCUCUUUUUUUAUUAUUGAGGGGCGGUCUGUUGUUGUUUUUGGCAACCGUGGCCCUUUGCUGCUGUUUUGGGUGAUCCCCAUCCGGGAUCAAGAGCAAACGUAUUUUUUUGAGCGCUGAUCCAAUGUGUCGCCAGGGCGAUCCAACCAGUUCGGGAGCUACCUCAGGGUAGUU